Molecule: ribosomal RNA, 1340 nt
Filed under: bacterium YC-LKJ3
Lineage: Bacteria
Description: bacterial SSU rRNA
Rfam family: Bacterial small subunit ribosomal RNA
Source: RNAcentral
AGGAGGCGUCGAGCGGCGGACGGGUGAGUAAUGCAUAGGAAUCUGCCCGGUAGUGGGGGAUAACCUGGGGAAACUCAGGCUAAUACCGCAUACGUCCUACGGGAGAAAGCAGGGGCUCUUCGGACCUUGCGCUAUCGGAUGAGCCUAUGUCGGAUUAGCUGGUUGGUGAGGUAACGGCUCACCAAGGCGACGAUCCGUAGCUGGUCUGAGAGGAUGAUCAGCCACAUCGGGACUGAGACACGGCCCGAACUCCUACGGGAGGCAGCAGUGGGGAAUAUUGGACAAUGGGCGCAAGCCUGAUCCAGCCAUGCCGCGUGUGUGAAGAAGGCCCUCGGGUUGUAAAGCACUUUCAGUGGGGAAGAAAUCCUCGGGGCUAAUACCCUCGAGGGAGGACAUCACCCACAGAAGAAGCACCGGCUAACUCCGUGCCAGCAGCCGCGGUAAUACGGAGGGUGCGAGCGUUAAUCGGAAUUACUGGGCGUAAAGCGCGCGUAGGCGGCGUGAUAAGCCGGUUGUGAAAGCCCCGGGCUCAACCUGGGAACGGCAUCCGGAACUGUCAGGCUAGAGUGCAGGAGAGGAAGGUAGAAUUCCCGGUGUAGCGGUGAAAUGCGUAGAGAUCGGGAGGAAUACCAGUGGCGAAGGCGGCCUUCUGGACUGACACUGACGCUGAGGUGCGAAAGCGUGGGUAGCAAACAGGAUUAGAUACCCUGGUAGUCCACGCCGUAAACGAUGUCGACUAGCCGUUGGGGUCCUUGAGACCUUUGUGGCGCAGUUAACGCGAUAAGUCGACCGCCUGGGGAGUACGGCCGCAAGGUUAAAACUCAAAUGAAUUGACGGGGGCCCGCACAAGCGGUGGAGCAUGUGGUUUAAUUCGAUGCAACGCGAAGAACCUUACCUACUCUUGACAUCGUGCGAACUUGGUAGAGAUAGAUUGGUGCCUUCGGGAACGCACAGACAGGUGCUGCAUGGCCGUCGUCAGCUCGUGUUGUGAAAUGUUGGGUUAAGUCCCGUAACGAGCGCAACCCUUGUCCCUAUUUGCCAGCGAUUCGGUCGGGAACUCUAGGGAGACUGCCGGUGACAAACCGGAGGAAGGUGGGGACGACGUCAGGUCAUCAUGGCCCUUACGAGUAGGGCUACACACGUGCUACAAUGGCCGGUACAAAGGGUUGCGAAGCCGCGAGGUGGAGCCAAUCCCGAAAAGCCGGUCUCAGUCCGGAUCGGAGUCUGCAACUCGACUCCGUGAAGUCGGAAUCGCUAGUAAUCGUGAAUCAGAAUGUCACGGUGAAUACGUUCCCGGGCCUUGUACACACCGCCCGUCACACCAUGGGAGUGGACUGCAC